RNA transcript from Drosophila teissieri, 1786 nucleotides. RefSeq lists it as uncharacterized. The transcript is spliced from 2 exons. The record is from RefSeq and is a predicted model, not a curated record. Lineage: Eukaryota; Metazoa; Arthropoda; Insecta; Diptera; Drosophilidae.
UAUUAAAAAACUAUUUUUUUAGAUUUGCUGAAAAGUAUCUAAUAGACAUGGUUCGCUUCUGAAUCUAUAAAAUAUACAGCCGUUUCCGUCCGUCCGUAUAAACUUCGAACCUUUAGGAACAUAUAAGUGCUAGAAUUGCUUAUUCCAAACAAAGUAGUCGGCCUCUUGUGUAGACAUGGCAAAAUAUUUCCAAUCACACUCCCAACUUUCAAAUAUGUUUUCAUUUUUGUUGCCAAUAUCUUCGCGUUAGGCGCUAAAAAUACAUUUGCCAAGACCCACUAGUUGCCUCUCUGAAAUCGAAUUCUCUAGAUACUUUUCUGAGAUACCAAGAUUCCGUUGGAAAGUUUUAAUAAACACUAAGCAGUAAACGCACUAUUUUUAAGCAGUAAACUUAUUUUCUACGAAACAAAAGUCGGAGUAAAUUGUUUCACUUUUGAUAGUUAGAUGCUCUGCUCCAUCACGAAAUGCCCAUUCAGAGGCGUUGGCUGCGUCGCCUGAAAAGCCAUCAGGAAAAUGUGGUCCAUCGGCAAGUUAUAGUUUACAGAUACAACAGCUGCCUCGGCACGAUACUCCAACUGAUGAUAAUCGAAGCCACCGGAUGGGGCGGUAAACAACAGAAGUGACAUUAAAGACACAUCAGAAUUCAUCAAGCAUCAAACUAAUAGAAAAAGUUCUGGCAGCAGCCGGCCCUGUUUCUGGCUUUUUCCGGCUGUCCUGUCCUGUUUGCGUCCAGAUUUGCUGCCACUGCCACUGUCACUGCUACUGCGACUGCGACUGCCACUUUCCAUCUUCCCUUUCCAUUUGCGGCCCCUUCGGCAUUAAAGCUAAACAGUGAAAACAAUUGCAGAGCUGCAGUUUCAAUUCCUGCUGCACUUUCCAGGCCGGGGCGGCACAUAAAAAUGAUUUAAAUGCAGGCGGCGAGCUGCAUUACGAGCUUACUGGCCAGGACCGGCUCCAACUCCAACUUCAGCUCCAGCUCCGGCUCCAACUCCGGCUCCAACUCUCUUUUUCUGACUGGGCACUCGUUGAGUGACAAGCUCCUUGCCCGGGGCCAUGUAUCAAGUUGAUGGCUGCCCGGUGGCAAGCGGCGGUGGCAACUUCGUUAUGACCGUUAGCAGCUCUAUUUGCCCGACUCGGAACCAAACUCCGAUCCACACUGGGAAAAUAGUGCCUGUGUUUAGUUUCUGAACGACUUCUCUUUACUUCUAUAUGAGCUUGGUAUGGAGUCCAAAGCGCAAAGCUUAUUUUCUUAAAUCAAAAUUCCACUGCUUAAUUAAAUAAGUUUCAUUAGCUUAACCAUUAGCCCAUUAUCUACGGUAAUUGAAACCUUUUCGCCGAAAGAGUAUUGCCAAAUUAAGGAGUUCUUCCUAAAAAACAAAAAGAGACCCCUCCUCCAUUCACUCAAUUUAAGAGUGAAUGGAAUUUUCUUGAGUGCACCUACUUCACUUCAUGGACUCUGCAGCGAAGUUCACUGUGGAGUGGGAUCUGCACUCCAUCUGCAUACUUAAUGCAUUUUCAUUUUAUUUCAUUGCUUUAGUUUUGACCAGGCCAACGGGAGGGGCCAGUUGACGGGGGUCACAUCGUCUGGACCUGGUCCGCAUCCCCUUGCACUUGGACUUGCACUUGGCCCGAGUUCGGGCCCGUAUCUGUAUCUGUAGCUGUAGCUGUAUCUGUAUCUGAAGCUGUAGCUGUAGCUGUAUCUGUAGCUGUGGCUCCAUCUCUAUCUGCAUCUUUAGCUGCGCCUCGCUCCAACUAUUUGCUCUACGGCUUGUCUUGUGUUUGCUUA